ACCCCUAUGGCGUAAUGGCUAACGCGUUUGACUUCUAUAUUAUUUCAGCAGCUGAAAUAAUCAAAAGAUUCUCGGUUCGAGUCCGGGUAGGGGUG
Ascosphaera atra is the source of this 95-nucleotide non-coding RNA. The record is from the annotation of a GenBank genome assembly. Lineage: Eukaryota; Fungi; Ascomycota; Eurotiomycetes; Onygenales; Ascosphaeraceae.